This is a long non-coding RNA of Gallus gallus (chicken), 918 nucleotides long. RefSeq lists it as uncharacterized. NCBI's taxonomy places the organism in Eukaryota, Metazoa, Chordata, Aves, Galliformes, Phasianidae. The transcript is spliced from 3 exons. The record is from RefSeq and is a predicted model, not a curated record.
AGCCAUUCUCUGACUAGGGUGUACAGUUCCCUAUUGCUAUGACGAGGGUCCUCAGCUGAUGAAAUUCACAACUGGAUACAUUAUGAAAAUAGUCUCAUCUCCCGCAUUAAGGAAACUGUCAGCAGGCAGCUUAACUUUCAGCUCCUCAGCUGUGGCGGUGCACGCACAAAACGUACCUGUACCUCUCCUGCAUGAAAGCUGGCAGCGAUGGGAACAUUCCUGUCAGCUGUCGUGGCACAACAAAGAGGAACGUAAACAGCUCUUCUUCGCCAAACGCGGCCUCACGCUCCUUACACAACGAGCUCACUGCUGGUUUCACUGGGAAUUUUAACUGGAAUCUGAAAAGUGUAUCGGCACUCCGAGAGGCAGCUGCACCGGGAGCAGAGGGCAGGAAGAUGACUGAGGAGGGCAGCUAGCUGGACCACCACUCUGUCAAGAAACCAAGCAGCUUAAAUGGUGCCCGACAUUCAGGAUGUAUUGAGCCAGGCCUGCAGGCACAGUCAGGGGGCUGACUCCCAUCAUAUGGGGAACGUGAGGACUUGCCAUGCCCCCGUAUGGCCAGCCCUGCAUGCCCACCAGUGAGAACAGCUGCAAUCAGAAAUGGGAAAGAGGUGGGACUCUUCCACACAGAUAUAAAACGACAUCUCCAACCACUUCUGGAAAAAUAAAGUUAGCCCAUAAAUAAAUAAAUAGAAUCCAGUCAGAUUUUUAUUUUAUCCACUAUCACACCUUUGAGAGCCGAAGAGUAAUGACAACUGUCAGAAGGCAAGAAGCUAGAAGUGCCACUCUUCCCCACUUUACGAAGUCAGUGGUGUUUUUAAAACUACUUUUCAUAUCAGUUUACAAGCUUUAAUAAUAAAAGAGUAUGUUGUACUAUUAGAUGUUGGUCAUUUUUUUUUUGUCUGACGAAGAAAAAUA